Molecule: ribosomal RNA, 482 nt
Filed under: uncultured bacterium
Lineage: Bacteria
Description: bacterial SSU rRNA
Rfam family: Bacterial small subunit ribosomal RNA
Source: RNAcentral
AUUGAACGCUGGCGGCAUGCCUUACACAUGCAAGUCGAACGGCAGCACGGGAGCAAUCCUGGUGGCGAGUGGCGAACGGUGAGUAAUAUAUCGGAACGUGCCCAGUCGUGGGGGAUAACGUAGCGAAAGCUACGCUAAUACCGCAUACGAUCUAUGGAUGAAAGCGGGGGAUCGCAAGACCUCGCGCGAUUGGAGCGGCCGAUAUCAGAUUAGGUAGUUGGUGAGGUAAAGGCUCACCAAGCCGACGAUCUGUAGCUGGUCUGAGAGGACGACCAGCCACACUGGGACUGAGACACGGCCCAGACUCCUACGGGAGGCAGCAGUGGGGAAUUUUGGACAAUGGACGCAAGUCUGAUCCAGCCAUUCCGCGUGCAGGAUGAAGGCCCUCGGGUUGUAAACUGCUUUGUACGGAACGAAAAGGUUUGUCUUAAUACGAUGAGCUCAUGACGGUACCGUAAGAAUAAGCACCGGCUAACUACGUG